Lolium rigidum is the source of this 1654-nucleotide long non-coding RNA. RefSeq lists it as uncharacterized. The record is from RefSeq and is a predicted model, not a curated record. Lineage: Eukaryota; Viridiplantae; Streptophyta; Magnoliopsida; Poales; Poaceae. The transcript is spliced from 4 exons.
GCAUUUUUUUCGUCUCAACACAGGUUAAGGCCGGAUCCAACAACCUAUAAAACAAUGUGUAAAAGACUACACCUUCGGCAUCAUAGUGCCAUCUAAUCUCAUUUUCUCUCUAUAUGGUCUACUAUAUAUGUGCUGAGCACCAUCUAAUACGUGUGGUUGGCGUGAGUUUGAUUAAAUCUGCACAUGAAGAUGCUUUGUAGUCUGCCAUCAUGUGCUCUAAUGUUCUUUCUACUAGAACAUGGGUCAGAUAACCGAAGGCAAGAAGAGAAAGGGUACCAGCGACAAGAGACGCCCGGCCAAGGCCCUCUUCAAGGGGAAGCAGAAAUCUUAGUCUUGCCAGACUGCAGUUGCAGAACCGGGCCAGGACAAGCGCGCCAGCAAGGAAAUCAACCAUGAGGCUGCAGAUGAGGCUUCUCCUCGGUUUGCCAGCUGAGGAGGUCCGGCCUCAUCUCCUCCGUUGGAAACAGUCCUAUAAGCUUCCUCUUUGUCAUGUCCCCCUCCCCAUGUACACAAAUAAGAGGAAAGGAAGCAGUGAAACAGGUCCCGACAGGGAGAAGCGACGGCAGAAAUAAAAUGAUGUGCGGUUGCAUUGUCUUGUGGUGUUGAUCAUCUGAUGGACAGAGAGGAGUUUGCUUCCAGGAUCUGUCAAGGACAGAGCGAUCAUGUCGCUGCAGAUGUUGUGACAACGCGUUGUGCUCGAUGUGUUCAUCUAUGUCGAUGCUAUCCUGGGCAGGGCACUUCCCGUCUAAAUAUUGUUACAGGUCAGGUCCAUGUUUAGGUUUUUAACUGAAGCCUGCAGAUGAUGGUCACAGAUCAUUUCCAGGCACGAUGAACUCAGUUUAGAUAGGAGACCCAUACAACUACCUCUGUUUAUUGUACUUCUCUAUCUGAUGAGUUGAGGUUUACCUGCUUUAGUUCUGAUCUUUGUACUGUCUGUUGUUGUAUGUACCUGCACUAAAUGAGUAUACCAUAGGUUGCACUUUAUUGACCUACUGUCUCCGUGGUGUUUGUUCUUAAGCGUGUUCCAGUUAUCAAUCAGACUACCAAUGAGUAAUUUCACUGAAAUGAACCAACUGAAAGCAUGCUUUAGAGUGUCGCAGCUAUUUUCUUCUGGCCUUUGCUCUUGGAUCUCUUUCAUGUGAUAGUUUUGGUUUUGAUUCAGGCAGUAACUCAGGACAGAAACAAAGCACCCAUGGUGCCUCAGAGAAAGAUAACAUACCAGUUAUUGUCGGCUGAAUCCGCGCUUACUUCACGGGAGGUUGCCUAAAUCCUCUAUCAUUCCUCCUUAGACUCUUGAAGGUGAUGGCACCCUAUCCGCUCAAUCGCCAGUGAGCUUACUCAGUUUGGGUCACUGGUGCCUGCUGCCGGAGCCGGAUGGCGCAAGUCUAGCUCCUCAUCCUCCAGCUCUACUGCCGGUCUGGCCCUGCAAACAAGCGGGCGGCUUGCUAUUGCUCGCAAUGGCAUCCCCAGCGUGGCAUGGAACAAACGUAGGAUCCAGCGAAGACCAGCCACACCGGCUCGACAGCACGAUGCACUGGUGGAAACUACCUCCUUCGCCCUCGGGCUCUACGAAUCAACGACGCGGCUGAGCUUCAGUAUUGCGAGCCUCGCCCGCACGUGCCUGCACACUUUCAGUCAUCAAAGCAUGCCGGCC